CUGCUGCUAAACCUCUGUUUUGGAGCCCUGUUUUGUUUUCUUCUGCUGGCUAGCCUUUUGUCUUGGACUGAGUUUUGUUGCAGUCUCUUGUGGCGGGCUGGGUUCCUACGCACUACCUUUCUUGUUAUUUGUUGCUUUUUACCCUCUUAUUAUUAUUCUUCUGGGCCUGACUACUUUGAUACCUUUUCCUUUUCCUUCUUGUAUCUUUUGAUUUCCUCAAUGAACUAGUGGUAACAUACCUAACUAUUCUUUUGGAGAAAAAGGAACAAGUUUUAUGACAAAGACGUACUUUGAGGUGGAGCCUUUGAAAUGGGUGGGUGAUGGGUCCAUGGGAGCGUUAAGCUCUCAGCCUCGAUUUUGCUUGUCAAUAGAACCUUAGGUGAAGGUAGCGUUCCUUUAACAUUUCGACGCUUGCAGUGGUGGGCUGCUAAAACUAGGGAACAAACUGGAAACUGGGGCUCACCACUGAGGUCUACUAAAACUUGAGAGGAAAUGAAGGUGCAACUCUACUUCAAUA
This 517-nucleotide long non-coding RNA is filed under the name Elaeis guineensis (African oil palm). RNAcentral describes it as "long non-coding RNA (EGUI_LNC076637)". Lineage: Eukaryota; Viridiplantae; Streptophyta; Magnoliopsida; Arecales; Arecaceae. The record is from RNAcentral.